AGAACGAACGCUGGCGGCAUGCCUAACACAUGCAAGUCGAACGAGACCUUCGGGUCUAGUGGCGCACGGGUGCGUAACGCGUGGGAAUCUGCCCUUGGGUUCGGAAUAACAGCGAGAAAUUGCUGCUAAUACCGGAUGAUGACGUAAGUCCAAAGAUUUAUCGCCCAAGGAUGAGCCCGCGUAGGAUUAGCUUGUUGGUGAGGUAAGAGCUCACCAAGGCGACGAUCCUUAGCUGGUCUGAGAGGAUGAUCAGCCACACUGGGACUGAGACACGGCCCAGACUCCUACGGGAGGCAGCAGUGGGGAAUAUUGACAAUGGAGAAAGCUGAU
This 330-nucleotide ribosomal RNA is filed under the name uncultured soil bacterium. RNAcentral describes it as "bacterial SSU rRNA". It matches the Rfam family "Bacterial small subunit ribosomal RNA", at positions 26 to 387 of the family's 1533-position model. The record is from RNAcentral.